GACGAGCCGAGCGAACGUUGUUCGGAAUCACUGGGCUUAAAGGGCGCGUAGGCGGGUGCUCGAGUCCGUGGUGAAAUCCUCCGGCUCAACCGGAGAACUGCCAUGGAUACUGGGUGUCUCGAGGGUGAUAGGGGUAUGCGGAACUAUCGGUGGAGCGGUGAAAUGCGUUGAUAUCGAUAGGAACUCCGGUGGCGAAGGCGGCAUACUGGAUCACAUCUGACGCUGAGGCGCGAAAGCCAGGGGAGCAAACGGG
Molecule: ribosomal RNA, 253 nt
Filed under: uncultured bacterium
Lineage: Bacteria
Description: partial 16S ribosomal RNA
Rfam family: Bacterial small subunit ribosomal RNA
Source: RNAcentral